RNAcentral lists this ribosomal RNA (497 nucleotides) under uncultured bacterium. RNAcentral describes it as "partial 16S ribosomal RNA". It matches the Rfam family "Bacterial small subunit ribosomal RNA", at positions 28 to 507 of the family's 1533-position model. The record is from RNAcentral.
GAUGAACGCUGGCGGCGUGCCUAAUACAUGCAAGUCGAGCGAAAAGACGAGGAGCUUGCGCCUCUGUCGUUAGCGGAGGGCGGGUGAAUAACACGUGGAACACGUACUUAUAAGUGUGGUAUCACUUCGGGAAACCGGGGCUAAUACCGUAGAAUCUACUGCACCGCAUGGUUGAAUAGAGAAAGACGGUUUUGCUGUCACUUAUCGAUGGAUCUGCGCCGCAUUAGCUAGUUGUGACGGUAACGGCUUACCAAGGCAACGAUGCGUAGCAGACCUGACAGGGUGAUCGGCCGCACGGGAACUGGGACGCGGUCCUGAGUACUGCGGGAGGCACCAGAAGGGUACCUGCCGCAAUAGUCGAAAGCUUGGCGGAGUGACGCCGCGUGAGAGAUGAAGGUCUUCGGAUCGUAAAACUCUGUUAUUAGUGAAGAACAAAUGUGUAAGGAACUAUGCACGGCUUGACGGUACCUAAUCAGAAAGCCACGGCUAACUACGUG